Non-coding RNA from Dipodomys ordii (Ord's kangaroo rat), 69 nucleotides. NCBI's taxonomy places the organism in Eukaryota, Metazoa, Chordata, Mammalia, Rodentia, Heteromyidae. The record is from Rfam.
GGAAUAUGGCCUAGUGGUAGAGUGCUUGCCUAGCAUGCAAGAAGCCCUGGGUUCGAUUCCUCAGUACCA